This 253-nucleotide ribosomal RNA is filed under the name uncultured bacterium. Its description in RNAcentral is "partial 16S ribosomal RNA". It matches the Rfam family "Bacterial small subunit ribosomal RNA", at positions 524 to 776 of the family's 1533-position model. The record is from RNAcentral.
UACGGAGGGUACGAACGUUAAUCGGAAUUACUGGGCGUAAAGCGCACGUAGGCGGUUCGUUAAGUGGGAUGUGAAAUCCCCGGGCUCAACCUGGGAACUGCAUUCCAGACUGGCGAACUCGAGUCUGGUAGAGGGGGGUGGAAUUUCCUGUGUAGCGGUGAAAUGCGUAGAUAUAGGAAGGAACAUCAGUGGCGAAGGCGGCCCCCUGGACUAAGACUGACGCUGAGGUGCGAAAGCGUGGGGAGCAAACAGG